GCGUGCCCUCCGCGGCGCAGCGUGGGGUACCGUCUCCCGCCCCGCCGGCGCGCUGCGUCCCCGCGCGUCCGAGUCCUGGUGUGAGCGCGGCCUGGCUGCCUUCCGUCCCGCCGGUUCCGUUUGACACGAAGGCGACGCUGGCUUCCCCUUAAGCCCAGCAGACGGUAGUUAGGGUCCGGGGCUGACGAGCUCGCGCCCCGUCCGUCUCGGCCCCUCGGUCCCUGGACCGCGGGCGCGGGGUCCGCUCUGUGCCCAGGACGCCUGGCCUGUCGUCUCCCCGCGGACAGAGGCUGGUCCGUGUUUCUGUGUGGAGGAGGCUUCCCGGGCUGCCGGGGGCGUCAGGGGCCGCCCAGAGUUUCUCACCCCGGGGCGACUUCUCGCCUCGAGCCGCCAGGUCGGCGUCCCUCCGCGGGCAGGAAGCUGAGCCGGGACCGGCCCCGGCGGCACCCCGGUCCUCACCGCCGGGGACUUGGCCCUUUUCUCCCCUUCCGCCUCCCGGGGGCUGUGCGCCGCCGUCCCGAGGGGCCCGUGGGGCGCGCGGCGGAGCAGCGUUGACCUGCCGCUCGCUUCGCACACGCGCUGCCGGCUCCCCGCCCGCCGCGCAGUCGGCCGCUGCCUCCGGCCGGCGGGGGCUCCCCUGGCGGGCCUCCCGGCGCUGAGCUCGGCCGAGGCCCUGCCCCAGGCCAGCUUGUCCCCGCGGGCGGGGUGGCCGCACUCUGCACGUGCGCUCAGCCGCCCGCCCCUCGGAGGUGAGACCCGGCGGUUGUGUGUCACUCUCCGCCCCGAGGUUCCCGCCCAUCAGAGCGCUGCCGCCACCGCGGGUGGAGGGAGGUGGAGGAAACGCAGUCGCCACAAGUCCCUGGGUUUCAAGGUAGAACAGGCUGGCCCGGCCCGCGGUGCCAGACGCUGUCUGCUCUGUUGCUUCGGGCGGGGGCACCCCGGGCUCUGAGGCCCUCAGGGCCGACGCACAGGCGGGGACUCGGCGGAGGAGGGCGCACGCGGGCGCGGUGGCCGGUGCUCGGAGGCCACCGCGGCCCUCAGCGCCCUCCCGCGGGAAAGCCUUAGCUUAGGUCAAGCGUGGUGUUUAAAGGUAACGUCGUCAGUGAUUAGAGCGACACUGUUUACGUGAAACCACUUUCUGAGGGUAGUAAGUUAGAGCGAGUGGCGUAAACACGAGCGUUGCGCGAAGCCGCGUCUGCAGGGCGGCGUCCCGCGCGCGUUGUGGUGCGUGUUGGUGCGCGUGGGGCUGCCCUCCGGGCCCCCGGCCCUCCGUGCGGCUGGACGGCUGUCCCUCGGGGCCCCGCGGUCUCACGGUCCUGUCAGUGUAGAGGGAGGGAGGAGGGAUCCCUGGAGUCUUGGAGAAAAGGUUUUGUGCCCUCUGGUGGGGCUUCCCCCAUAUUUAUGAUCUUAAUUUAUACAGCGCCCACCGUGGAAGCAAACGCUUCCUGUAUCGCUAUGUACAUAUCCACAUCUGGGGUUGUAAAUACGUUGUUCUGUGUAUAAAUAAAACAAGCCUGUUUUUGAUCUUACACUGUCGGGUUUCUUGUUAUCGUUCCUUGUGCUUGGACGUAAGAUGUUGCCAAAAAUCUUCCCGAACUGGGUUCAGAAUUACGUUUUUCAGCCGCUCUAAAAGCAGGUUGAAUUGGCGGUGGCUGAAAAGCAAAGUGGGAAGAAUGCCAUUGUAUUAUAUAGGGUGUAGGUUCUAGGAUCUGUUGAAUUAAAAAUUCAGCAACCUUGGGGCCGGGUGGCACCAAGGUUCUCAGGCUUAAUCACAUGCAGCUUCAGCCCAACCUACUGAGGGCCGCGUCAUUUUAGCUAAUAUCCUAAUCUCCUAAGUCUUUAACAUGUAACUGCAAACCGGAGCUCUUCUACUUACCUCUCUGUUUAAUCAUAGUACCUUUAUUACAAGGGAGCUGCCUCUCCAAGCUCAAGGUCACUUUAAUCAUCCCCCAGUUUCCUGGGGUGAGGGAUGGGGGCUGGGAUCACGGAGUCGAAAACCAGGCUGGCAGGGUACCAUAGGGCUGUGUGGGCUUUGGAUGUGUAUGUAGGUUGCCUCCCCAGAAGCUUCCUUCUCUCUCCUCCCAUGCUUAGUAGAGCCCCAUUUUUGUCCUGGUGUGCAUGCUUCUCCCACCUGGCCAUCCAGCAUCAGGCCUCAUGCUUGCAGGAGAGCUGCCACUGUUCCAGGGAGCACAUCCAAACAUGACCACGCCCAGGCUAAAGUGUGGGUGUAUAGGGGGUUGUCUCUUCUGCGUCUCUUUUUAAGGUAAAAGGAAACCUUUCAGAAAGUCUGGCUUCCACUGACCUCCCCUAAUGUCUCAUCGUCUAGAAUUGUAUCACACACUCAUGACUGAACCGGUGGGUGCAGAGGGAACGGGACUAUGCCAGUGAUGGCUGAUCACGGUGCUGCUGGCCUAACACAUUUCUGUUACUUUAUGCCAGGUGCCGGCUUAAGGACUUUGCACAUCCUAACUCACCUGUUCCUUAGCAAUCCUACCAGAGGAAAACCCGCCAGCUGGGGACCUGAAGGCUUUCUCGCUCGUGCUGUGGACAGAAGCAGAUCCACCAAAAGCCUGCUGAGCUGCGCUUUCCGGGAAGUCAUGUUGCCAGCCGGGCCCCACGCUGAGAACAAAAUUGCCUGUGGUCCCAGGUCUCCAGGACGUGCGCACGCAGGAGGAAAGUGCCCCAGCGUGGUCGCUGCCAGGCGCACCCCCGGGGCCGGGCGGGCCUCCAUGGCGCCCGGCAGGGUGGCUGUGCAGCGCCCAUCACCGUGGAGGCCGUGACCGCUCGGGGUGGCCUCGACUUCUAGAAGAGCCAUGGUAUAGUGGUCCCCACCCCCUCGGUACGCUGGUUCCAAGUCGAACCAUUCAUGUCAUGGAGCUGCUGCUGGCCGUCGCACCCAACCCAGACCCCAGGCUGCAGGCAGGAGCCGUGCGGUGCCUUCCCAGAACGUACACACACCCGCAGUGAUCGGUCACGCCUUUUACUGACGGGCAGGACUGAGCACGGAAGGCGAGGCUGCCGCAUCUCCCGUCCAGCCGGCUGAGGGGCCCGGGACUCGGCCCUUCACAGCCAAGCCUGUCCCAGAGGGAAGCCGACCUCUCCGAGCCAGGAUUCUGGAUUAUCAGGGACUUCUUGGGCCCCGCCUCCCCUUUUUGCCAGGAAAGUGUCCCACUCUCUCCCUGGAGCCCCACUCCAUCCCCGAACUGGAAGGAAGGAGGGGAGCAAGCCGACAAGCAGAGACCACCCGAGGCCCCGGCCGCUCACCGCGGACACCGUGCCGCGCCUCGACCCUGCCUGUUGUGGCUCCUCCGGACUGUCCCCUCAGCCCUUUCCAGGCUUGGCUGCCAUGACCCUGCCUCCCCAUCAGGCUCCCAGAAGGAAGAGGCCCCGGCGGGA
This is a long non-coding RNA of Balaenoptera acutorostrata (minke whale), 3396 nucleotides long. RefSeq lists it as uncharacterized. NCBI's taxonomy places the organism in Eukaryota, Metazoa, Chordata, Mammalia, Artiodactyla, Balaenopteridae. The record is from RefSeq and is a predicted model, not a curated record. The transcript has 5 exons.